RNAcentral lists this ribosomal RNA (1544 nucleotides) under Salmonella enterica. RNAcentral describes it as "partial 23S ribosomal RNA". It matches the Rfam family "Bacterial large subunit ribosomal RNA", at positions 711 to 2236 of the family's 2925-position model. The record is from RNAcentral. RNAcentral also lists the same sequence under 3 other names. Lineage: Bacteria; Pseudomonadati; Pseudomonadota; Gammaproteobacteria; Enterobacterales; Enterobacteriaceae.
AGACCCGAAACCCGGUGAUCUAGCCAUGGGCAGGUUGAAGGUUGGGUAACACUAACUGGAGGACCGAACCGACUAAUGUUGAAAAAUUAGCGGAUGACCUGUGGCUGGGGGUGAAAGGCCAAUCAAACCGGGAGAUAGCUGGUUCUCCCCGAAAGCUAUUUAGGUAGCGCCUCGUGAAUUCAUCUCCGGGGGUAGAGCACUGUUUCGGCUAGGGGGCCAUCCCGGCUUACCAACCCGAUGCAAACUGCGAAUACCGGAGAAUGUUAUCACGGGAGACACACGGCGGGUGCUAACGUCCGUCGUGAAGAGGGAAACAACCCAGACCGCCAGCUAAGGUCCCAAAGUCAUGGUUAAGUGGGAAACGAUGUGGGAAGGCCCAGACAGCCAGGAUGUUGGCUUAGAAGCAGCCAUCAUUUAAAGAAAGCGUAAUAGCUCACUGGUCGAGUCGGCCUGCGCGGAAGAUGUAACGGGGCUAAACCAUGCACCGAAGCUGCGGCAGCGACACUGUGUGUUGUUGGGUAGGGGAGCGUUCUGUAAGCCUGUGAAGGUGUGUCGUGAGGCAUGCUGGAGGUAUCAGAAGUGCGAAUGCUGACAUAAGUAACGAUAAAGCGGGUGAAAAGCCCGCUCGCCGGAAGACCAAGGGUUCCUGUCCAACGUUAAUCGGGGCAGGGUGAGUCGACCCCUAAGGCGAGGCCGAAAGGCGUAGUCGAUGGGAAACGGGUUAAUAUUCCCGUACUUGGUGUUACUGCGAAGGGGGGACGGAGAAGGCUAUGUUGGCCGGGCGACGGUUGUCCCGGUUUAAGCGUGUAGGUGUGUGUUCCAGGUAAAUCCGGUUCACUUUAACACUGAGGCGUGACGACGAGGCACUACGGUGCUGAAGCAACAAAUGCCCUGCUUCCAGGAAAAGCCUCUAAGCAUCAGGUAACAUCAAAUCGUACCCCAAACCGACACAGGUGGUCAGGUAGAGAAUACCAAGGCGCUUGAGAGAACUCGGGUGAAGGAACUAGGCAAAAUGGUGCCGUAACUUCGGGAGAAGGCACGCUGACACGUAGGUGAAGUGAUUUACUCAUGGAGCUGAAGUCAGUCGAAGAUACCAGCUGGCUGCAACUGUUUAUUAAAAACACAGCACUGUGCAAACACGAAAGUGGACGUAUACGGUGUGACGCCUGCCCGGUGCCGGAAGGUUAAUUGAUGGGGUCAGCGCAAGCGAAGCUCCUGAUCGAAGCCCCGGUAAACGGCGGCCGUAACUAUAACGGUCCUAAGGUAGCGAAAUUCCUUGUCGGGUAAGUUCCGACCUGCACGAAUGGCGUAAUGAUGGCCAGGCUGUCUCCACCCGAGACUCAGUGAAAUUGAACUCGCUGUGAAGAUGCAGUGUACCCGCGGCAAGACGGAAAGACCCCGUGAACCUUUACUAUAGCUUGACACUGAACAUUGAGCCUUGAUGUGUAGGAUAGGUGGGAGGCUUUGAAGCGUGGACGCCAGUCUGCGUGGAGCCGACCUUGAAAUACCACCCUUUAAUGUUUGAUGUUCUAACGUGGACCCGU